Myodes glareolus (Bank vole) is the source of this 394-nucleotide long non-coding RNA. RefSeq lists it as uncharacterized. The record is from RefSeq and is a predicted model, not a curated record. Lineage: Eukaryota; Metazoa; Chordata; Mammalia; Rodentia; Cricetidae.
AAGAAAUUGAAGAAGACACCAGAAAGGGAAAAGAUCUCCCAUGCUCUUGGGAGCAUGAAUUCACCUCAUGCUGUAUUUCUCAAAACAUACCGCAUGUACCCUGCUGCCCAAAGCAAGUCACACGGUCAAGAUCAGAGUCAAUGUGCCAUGGAUGAAUGAAGAGAGUUGCACACUAUGUCUUACGAAGUUCCGUCUCAGGGAGUUUCAUUGCUCAGUGGGAAGAUGGAAUCUAGAAAAGAACAGCCUUGGCUCACUGUUUAAAUUCAGAGGAAGCAAAGACCAAAUUCUCUGUGCAUAUGAACUUUCAGUCCGUACCCAUAUUGCACAAUGUUCAGCAUUUUAAGAUUGAUAUAUUCGUGGGAAAAAAUAAAAUGGUAAGAAUUCUCGUUGUUAA